RNAcentral lists this ribosomal RNA (468 nucleotides) under uncultured bacterium. RNAcentral's name for it is "partial 16S ribosomal RNA". It matches the Rfam family "Bacterial small subunit ribosomal RNA", at positions 28 to 507 of the family's 1533-position model. The record is from RNAcentral.
GACGAACGCUGGCGGCGUGCUUAACACAUGCAAGUCGAACGGAAAGGCCCUGCUUUUGUGGGUUGCUCGAGUGGCGAACGGGUGUGUAACACGUGAGUAACCUGCCCUUGACUUUGGGAUAACUUCAGGAAACUGGGGCUAAUACCGGAUAUGAGCUCCUGCUGCAUGGUGUUGGUUGGUAAGUUUCGGCGGUUGGGGAUCGACUCGCGGCUUAUCAGCUUGUUGGUGGGGUAGUGGCUGACCAAGGCUUUGACGGGUAGCCGGCCUGAGAGGGUUACCGGCCACAUUGGGACUGAGAGACGGCCCAGACUCGUACGGGAGGCAGCAGUGGGGAAUAUUGCACAAUGGGCGGAAGCCUGAUGCAGAAACGCCGCGUGCGGGAUGACGGGCUUCGGGUUGUAAACCGAUUUCGCCUGUGACGAAGCGUGAGUGACGGUAAUGGGUAAAGAAGCAACGGCUAACUACGUG